This 492-nucleotide ribosomal RNA is filed under the name uncultured bacterium. RNAcentral describes it as "partial 16S ribosomal RNA". It matches the Rfam family "Bacterial small subunit ribosomal RNA", at positions 29 to 507 of the family's 1533-position model. The record is from RNAcentral.
AGUGAACGCUGGCGGUAGGCCUAACACAUGCAAGUCGAACGGAAGCACAGUAAGAGCUUGCUCUUACGGGUGGCGAGUGGCGGGCGGGUGAGGCAUACAUCGGAAUCUACUUUUUCGUGGGGGAUAACGUGGGGAAACAUGCGCUAACACCGCAUACGACCUACGGGUGAAAGCAGGAGAUCUACGGACCUUGCGCGAUUGAAUGAGCCGAUGUCGGAUUAGCUAGUUGGCGGGGUAAAGGCAUACCAAGGCGACGAUGCGUAGCUGGUCUGAGAGGAUGAUCAGCCACACUGGAACUGAGACACGGUCCAGACUCCUACGGGAGGCAGCAGUGGGGAAUAUUGGGCAAUGGGCGAAAGCCUGACGCAGCAAUGCCGCGUGAGUGAAGAAGGUCUUCGGAUUGUAAAGCUCUGUUAUUAGGGAAGAACAGCAGUGUAAGAAAACACGGCCGUCUUGACGGUACCCAAUGAGAAAGCACCGGCUAACUACGUG